GCCCGACGCAGAGUCGCUGUAAUAAAUGCUCGGGAAGUUAUAGAGAGAAAGGAGACGAUCCCAGUGAUUAAUGCCAAAGCCCUGUUGCCUGGGGAGAGGGUGAUGUUUGACUUUCUUGUACAGCUGCAGUUUGUGUGGUGAAGGUGCUCCCACAAUGUGGUUGGGAUACUACAGGUGGACAUUCAGAUGGUAAUCUCAGUCAUUGUAACACCAAACUUUGAUUGAAUUAGUCAGUUCAUCAGGACCUG
This is a long non-coding RNA of Hemiscyllium ocellatum (epaulette shark), 248 nucleotides long. RefSeq lists it as uncharacterized. NCBI's taxonomy places the organism in Eukaryota, Metazoa, Chordata, Chondrichthyes, Orectolobiformes, Hemiscylliidae. The record is from RefSeq and is a predicted model, not a curated record. The transcript is spliced from 3 exons.